UCAGCAGCCGCGGUAAUACGGAGGRUGCAAGCGUUAUCCGGAAUCAUUGGGUUUAAAGGGUCCGUAGGCGGACAAWUAAGUCAGGGGUGAAAUYCYGCRGCUCAACYGURGAACUGCCCUUGAUACUGGUUGUCUUGAAUCGUUGUGAAGUGGKUAGAAUGAGUAGUGUAGCGGUGAAAUGCUUAGAKAUUACUCAGAAYACCGAUUGCGAAGGCAGMUCACUAACAACGUAUUGACGCUGAGGGACGAAAGCGUGGGGAGCGAACAGGAUUAGAUACCCUGGUAGUCCACGCCGUAAACGAUGRAUACUAGCUGUYCGGUCUUCUGACUGGGUGGCCAAGCGAAAGUGAUAAGUAUCCCACCUGGGGAGUACGYUCGCAAGAAUGAAACUCAAAGGAAUUGACGG
Molecule: ribosomal RNA, 406 nt
Filed under: uncultured bacterium
Lineage: Bacteria
Description: partial 16S ribosomal RNA
Rfam family: Bacterial small subunit ribosomal RNA
Source: RNAcentral